GUAGGUGAACCUGCGGAAGGAUCAUUAUUGAAUAUUCUUGAUGGGUUGUAGCUGGCUCUCCGGAGCAUGUGCACGCCUGUCUUGACUUAAUUCAUCCACCUGUGCACUUUUUGUAGUCUUGGAGGUUGAGAGCGGUCGACUAUCGGAUGGCUGUUAUGGCCUUUCCGGAUGUGAGGAAUUGCUGAGUGCAAAAGCAUACAGCUCUUCUCAAAAUGACUCGCAAUACCUCUCCUUCAAGUACUAUGUAUUCAUAUACCACAUAGUAUGUUGUAGAAUGUGAUCAAUGGGCUUAUGGCCUAUAAUAAUGAAAUACAACUUUCAGCAACGGAUCUCUUGGCUCUC
This 342-nucleotide unclassified non-coding RNA is filed under the name rhizosphere metagenome. RNAcentral's name for it is "partial ribosomal RNA internal transcribed spacer region". The record is from RNAcentral.